CUGGGGCUAAGCAAAAUGUUAACUUACACACUUCAGUUUUUCCUUUCUAAAGACAGCGAUGCUUUUACAUUCCUAAGGUAAUGAUGCAGUCCUAGAGUAGAUUCCUUUGAAGGCACAGUUUUCAAGAAAUUCUAUUCAUGCCACAUUCUUAAGAAUCAGCAACUAUGUGAAAUGAAUAUUCAAAGAAGGUGCAAAUCUCUGUACACUGCUUCUGCAAGGCUAGUUGAGUGCCCUGUUAAAGUCGGCAAGGUUCCCAAAGCCAGAGUACAAGUUCAAGCCAUCUAAGAAAACUUAUACAGAUGAGGCCCACUCACUUCAGAGAAAUCUAGGAAAAAUAAGAUUCGAGGCAGUACAACACUAAAUAGUUACAUUUCAAUAGCAUCUCUCAUAGCUGGGUGCUUCUUUUAUGCUGAAAUAUCCCAGAUAUUUUGAGUUAGAGAAAAAUCAUAGCUUACGACAAUAUUCUAUUGAGGUUUAGAAAAAUAUUUUUGAUUGCAUAUUACAUAUUAUAAAGAAAAACACUAGAUAAAUAAAAUAAAAGACUAGUCUGAAUCUCAUAGCUCUCAUAAAUCUGUAUUAAAAUAGCACUUGAAGUCACACAGCAACAAUACAUUUCUUUGCCAAGCCUUUUUAAAAAUAAGGAAAACUGGAGUUCCCAUCGUGGUUCAUCAGAAGUGUAUCUGACUAAUAUCUAUGAGGACUGAGGUUUGGUUCCUGGUCUCUCUCAGUGGGUUAAGUAAGCUUUGCAGUGAGCUGUGGUGUAGGUCACAGAUGCAGCUCAGAGCUAGUGUUGCUGUGGCUGUGACGUAUGCCAGAAGCGGUCAGCUCCGAUUUGACCCCUAGCCUGUGAACUUCCAUAUGCCACAGCCACAAAAGGCAAAAAAAUAAAAUAAAAAAUACAGAAAGAAAAACUUAGGCAAUUCAUAAAAUUCCCUAAUGGAAAUACGAUGGAAAUACGAAAGCCACUAAAAAAGGAAUUCAUAUAAUACAAGUAAAUAUAUGAAAGUAUUUGAUAAUGUAUUUUCAUAGAUGGGUCUUUACAGAGAGACCUAUGUCAGCACGAAGAAGUUACGGAAGGUGUGGUUCGCAGAUGUGGCUCAGAUCCCAUAGUCCCACAGAUAUGGAAGAAUGUUUGACAGUGGGGAAUUAAAAGCAGCUCUUUUGUUCUCUUCCUGUUUGCCUACUUCCAUUUCCUUCUAACCUUGAAAACUAAUUAAUUUGUUGAUUCUUUUCUUAAAUUAAAAAAAAAGUAAGAAUAAAGAAUUACGUAGCUAAGGAGUGACUAGGCCUCUACCCACAACGGUCCCAUUACCAAUACUGAAAGCAAAUUAGGAAAGCACCGUAAUAUCUGAAGAGAAUCAGCCAACCUACAUGCAAUGGCAAAUGAUACAGAACCCGAUCUCCUGCCUCCAUGAUUCACGGAGAUUCUCCCCCAUUUCCUUUUAAAACUGUCCUGACUCUGCAGACUCUAAGCAGAAUGAGUCUGCAUUCUCCCCAAAUUGCCAGCUUUCUGAUUAAAGGAUCUUUCCUUUCUCCUGACACUUGCCUCUCAGUUUUUGGCUUUUGAGUAGUGAGCAGCUGAACCUGAGUUUGGUUAACACUCUUUCUAUAUUUAAAUGAAUUGUUUUCUUUUUUCAUUUUCACAAGUAGGAUGUCUACUACUCUUAUGAUGGAAGAUUGUCAGAAAAAUGUACUACAAGUGAAUCGAGUGGUGGAUUUAUUUUUCCAAAAUGCUUGAUUAAAAUAGUAAAACAAAUAUAGCCAUGGCCGUAUAUCUUCCCUGCCAAAAAAAAGAAACAACAUAUAUAUCAUAAAGUAAUAAUAUACAGCUAUUGAAUAACAUGUAAUUGCAUAAUAGGGUUUUUAUUUUCGAGUGAAUAGUACAGAAAGCCAAAAGAAUCAACUUGGAAGAGAUUUCUUUUCUUUCUUUAUUUAUUUAUUUUUUUUGUCUUUUUAGGUCCACUCCUGUGGCACAUAGAGAUUCCCAGGCUAGGAAUCGGAGCCGUAGCCACCAGCCCAUGUCUACAGCCACAGCAAUGCAGGACAUGAACCAUGUUUGCAACACCACAGCUCACAACAAUGCUGGAUCCUUAACCCACCGAGCGAGGCCAGGGAUCGAACCCCUGUUCUUAUGGAUACUAGUUGGGUUCAUUAACCAUUGAGCCCCGACGGGAACUAUACAUAGUUGCCAGUCUUGUAUAUACAUAUUGAUACAUGGAUUUUAGGAUUGUCACCACCCUUUGUUUAGAUUUGACUUUAUAAAGCUAGAGAAAGCAUUAGAUUGUUAUUUUCAGAAGGCUUAUAUCUUCGAUUCAAGUAAGUUGUCACCAGAUGUACUCCUACCAAACGUUACAGAACAUCUCUUCAAAACUAGCCCUUGACCACACUAUCAGAAUUCAAUCCUUUCUACUUUUAAAUGACAGACAUCAAAAUCGAUAUGUAAUUUUUUAAAAUUAUUUAAGGGUUCACAUUGUUGACAAAAAAUAUGCACGACUUAAAAGUUGAUAGUGAAGUUUUAUUUGGGACAAAACAAGGACUCUAGCCUGGGAGGCAGCAUUUCAGAUCACUCUAAAAUACCACUCCAGGAGUUCCCAUCAUGGCUCAGGGGAAAUGAAUCUCACUAGGAACCAUGAGGCUGAGGGUUCAAUCCCUGGCCUUGCUCAGUGGGUUGUCACGAGCUGUGGUGGAGGUCAGAGCUCGGAUCUGAUAUUGCUGUGGCUGUGGCGUAUGCCAGCAGCUGUAGCUCCGAUUUGACCCCUAGCCUGGCAACCUCCAUAUGCUUCGGGUGUAGCCCUAAAAAGACAAAUUAAUUAAUUAAUUAAUUAAUUUAAUUAAAUACCACUCCAAAGAGGCAGAGGGAAAUGUCAGCGUAUAUGUGAGUUUGGUGAUGGGGGAGGUACAUGCAGCCAUGCAUACAUUUUACAGAAGUCUGCUGCUGAUCUCAUGAAGGUUACUGCUAGUUAUGAAUAUUAGACAUCACCAUGAAGGAUUUAGUGCUUUCCUAGAUAUGAGGAGAUGCAAGAAUUGGGCUCAUAAAAUCUUCUCCUGAAAAUAUCUAUCUGAGCACUUGUUCUGCCAGUCUUCCCAGAGCGCAGAACUCCUUUCAGAGGGUGUUGAGUGUUGGCAGCUGCAGUGGCUCAUGAUUCAACCAGGGUAGAGGCAGAUGGCACAUGCCAGUCUCCAGUUCACAACACUAAAUUUUUUGUUUCACUUUGGAUUUCAAAGUAUUACAAUCCUCUUAAGAAUAAUUUUUCUGGAAAUAAAUCCUAAUUCCAAGUAUUAGGAGACAUAUGUACUAGAAUGGAAGGUCCAUGAGGGCAGGGAUCUUCUUAUGCAAAUCUUAAGUAUACCUAGCAUAUUGCUUGGCACAUAAUAAAUAAGAAUGUAUAGAAAAAAAAUUACCAUUUAAUUCUUUAAAAAAAAUAUGGUGUUGAGGAUGGGGGUAACUUACUGAGGAGAUAUUACAAUGAUAUAUCCAAGAAAAAAAUGUAAGAAACAAUCUUCCACAAAAAGAUAAAAUUUAAAUUUUAUCUGCCUGUCAAAUGUAUUAUUCGUAUUCUACAAAGAAAUCACUGUAAUCUUGUUUGCUCUCAACUUUUUCUAAUCAAGGAUUCUUUCCAGCUUUUAUAAUCCCAAAGCACAAAUGUAAUGAAAUAUUGAAUUCUGAAUUUAGGUGGGCAUAGUAAAACUGUCUUUAAAUUAUGACUUGGAACUAGGUAUUUUAUAGGUAGCAUAUACUUUCCUUUUGUGGUGUACUUGGUUUCAGAUCAAAAAAAUUAACAUUUUAUGUACCUUACAGACCAAUUCUUUUUGAAAAUGGAUGGAAGCCAUGGUUUUAUAAGUUUUGCUCACAGUCACAAAUCUUGAAUUUCAUAGAACCAUUCUAUAGUUUAUUGGGAAACAUUCUUUCAGCUGUAGAUAAAGAUUACUAAUCAACAUAUUGAUUUUUUAGUGGUUCUUCUUUAGAAAAUCCAUGUAAAUUUUUUUUCUCAAAUUAUUACCAAUUUAAAUUUUAAUAUGGCAUAUUUUGCAUAUAAAUAUUUUUACAUAGAAAAAUAUUUGUAUUAUUUUCCUGAAUUUCUUAAUUAUAUAGUCAUUAAAUUAAUCGCAUUUCUGAUCAUCACAGAAAGACAGGAACAAGAAUAAUAAAAAUGAAUAAAUUAAUUGUAAUUUAUUCACAUAAUUCAGCAUGAAGACGAAUGAGUUACUGCUACAUACAAUGACAUAAAAGAGACUUACAUAGAAAAUAUAAAGAACAUGAAGCCAUUCACAAAAUAAAACUGUUUACAUUAUAUAAAGCUCAAAACUGGGUAAAACUAGAUAGGAGUUUGUUAGAAGUCAAAGUGGUGCCAUUGGAGGAGUCACUGUUCCUUACAAAAAACAUAAAGGAGCUUCUGGGGCUCUAAUAAUAUUCUCUUCAUUUAUUCAUUUAUUUUUUCUUUUACAGCAGUACCUGCAGCACAUGGAAGUUCUGGACUAGGAGUCAAAUCAGAGCUGCAGUGGCAGGGCUAGGCCACAGACACAACGGUACCAGAUUUGAACUGCAUCUGCGACCUACGCUGCAGCUUGUGACAAUGCUGGAUCCUUAAACCCACUGAAUGAGGCCAGAUAUCAAACCCUCAUCCUCACAUGAACUACAUUAGGGUUUUUAACCCAUUGAGGCACAACGGGAAUUCCCAAUGUUCUCCUUCAUUAAGUAGGUCUGUUUACACAAAUGUGUUCACUUUGUUAAAACUUAGCUGUCUUAUUUAGUUACCAUUUGUGUAUUUUUAUCUAUGUGUAAUAUAAGAAGUGUAUUUUUAAAAGAUAUCUGACACUUGCUACUAUAUAAAAAGUAAUUUUGUAUAGCAAACUAAUAUUAUAUAAUAUAUAGAAUAUUUUAUGAUAUAUUAAUACUUUAGUGAUAAAUAGUAAUAACAUGUAUCUAAGAGUUCAUUAUAUAUUACAGUAAUGCCUGUAUAGCAAUGUGGUAAAUUAUAUAAUAAUACAUUAAAAAAAUAAUAAUUAUAGCUAAUACAUAUCAUGCUUAAUGUAUGCCCAAUUCUAGUGCUUGAUAUGUUUACAUAUUAAAUUCUUUAAAAAAAUCCUCUAUUUCCAAGGUCCAAUUCCACACAUAUGAAGUUUGGAAGUUGCCACUUCAUC
Molecule: long non-coding RNA, 5142 nt
Filed under: Sus scrofa (pig)
Lineage: Eukaryota; Metazoa; Chordata; Mammalia; Artiodactyla; Suidae
Description: lncRNA (ENSSSCG00000061887.1)
Source: RNAcentral